AUUGAACGCUGGCGGAAUGCUUUACACAUGCAAGUCGAACGGCAGCACGGGGGCAACCCUGGUGGCGAGUGGCGAACGGGUGAGUAAUACAUCGGAACGUGCCCGGUCGUGGGGGAUAACGUAGCGAAAGUUACGCUAAUACCGCAUACGAUCUACGGAUGAAAGCGGGGGACCGUAAGGCCUCGCGCGAUUGGAGCGGCCGAUGUCAGAUUAGGUAGUUGGUGAGGUAAAGGCUCACCAAGCCGACGAUCUGUAGCUGGUCUGAGAGGACGAACAGCCACACUGGGACUGAGACACGGCCCAGACUCCGACGGGAGGCAGCAGCGGGGAAUUUUGGACAAUGGGCGCAAGCCUGAUCCAGCCAUUCCGCGUGCAGGACGAAGGCCUUCGGGUUGUAAACUGCUUUUGUACGGAACGAAAAGGCUCUGGUUAAUACCCGGGGCUCAUGACGGUACCGUAAGAAUAAGCACCGGCUAACUACGUGCCAGCCGCCGCCGUAA
This 500-nucleotide ribosomal RNA is filed under the name uncultured bacterium. Its description in RNAcentral is "partial 16S ribosomal RNA". It matches the Rfam family "Bacterial small subunit ribosomal RNA", at positions 29 to 523 of the family's 1533-position model. The record is from RNAcentral.